This 75-nucleotide transfer RNA is filed under the name Megasphaera micronuciformis. RNAcentral's name for it is "tRNA-Ile". It matches the Rfam family "tRNA". From Rfam's summary of the family: Transfer RNA (tRNA) molecules are approximately 80 nucleotides in length. Their secondary structure includes four short double-helical elements and three loops (D, anti-codon, and T loops). Further hydrogen bonds mediate the characteristic L-shaped molecular structure. tRNAs have two regions of fundamental functional importance: the anti-codon, which is responsible for specific mRNA codon recognition, and the 3' end, to which the tRNAs corresponding amino acid is attached (by aminoacyl-tRNA synthetases). tRNAs cope with the degeneracy of the genetic code in two manners: having more than one tRNA (with a specific anti-codon) for a particular amino acid; and 'wobble' base-pairing, i.e. permitting non-standard base-pairing at the 3rd anti-codon position. Lineage: Bacteria; Bacillati; Bacillota; Negativicutes; Veillonellales; Veillonellaceae. The record is from RNAcentral.
GAACUCUUAGCUCAGUGGUAGAGCCACCGGCUCAUAACCGGUUGGUCGAUGGUUCAAAUCCAUCAGGGUUCACCA